RNAcentral lists this ribosomal RNA (497 nucleotides) under uncultured bacterium. RNAcentral's name for it is "partial 16S ribosomal RNA". It matches the Rfam family "Bacterial small subunit ribosomal RNA", at positions 28 to 507 of the family's 1533-position model. The record is from RNAcentral.
GAUGAACGCUGGCGGCGUGCCUAAUACAUGCAAGUCGAGCGAACGGACGAGAAGCUUGCUUCUCUGAUGUUAGCGGCGGACGGGUGAGUAACACGUGGAUAACCUACCUAUAAGACUGGGAUAACUUCGGGAAACCGGAGCUAAUACCGGAUAAUAUUUUGAACCGAAUGGUUCAAAAGUGAAAGACGGUCUUGCUGUCACUUAUAGAUGGAUCCGCGCUGCAUUAGCUAGUUGGUAAGGUAACGGCUUACCAAGGCAACGAUGCAUAGCCGACCUGAGAGGGUGAUCGGCCACACGGGAAGUGAGACACGGUCCAGACUCCUACGGGAGGCAGCAGUAGGGAAUCUUCCGCAAUGGGCGAAAGCCUGACGGAGCAACGCCGCGUGAGUGAUGAAGGUCUUCGGAUCGUAAAACUCUGUUAUUAGGGAAGAACAUAUGUGUAAGUAACUGUGCACAUCUUGACGGUACCUAGUCAGAAAGCCACGGCUAACUACGUG